This 1346-nucleotide ribosomal RNA is filed under the name uncultured bacterium. RNAcentral's name for it is "partial 16S ribosomal RNA". It matches the Rfam family "Bacterial small subunit ribosomal RNA", at positions 28 to 1381 of the family's 1533-position model. The record is from RNAcentral.
GACGAACGCUGGCGGCGUGCUUAACACAUGCAAGUCGAACGGAAAGGCCCUGCUUUUGUGGGGUGCUCGAGUGGCGAACGGGUGAGUAACACGUGAGUAACCUGCCCUUGACUUUGGGAUAACUUCAGGAAACUGGGGCUAAUACCGGAUAGGAGCUCCUGCUGCAUGGUGGGGGUUGGAAAGUUUCGGCGGUUGGGGAUGGACUCGCGGCUUAUCAGCUUGUUGGUGGGGUAGUGGCUUACCAAGGCUUUGACGGGUAGCCGGCCUGAGAGGGUGACCGGCCACAUUGGGACUGAGAUACGGCCCAGACUCCUACGGGAGACAGCAGUGGGGAAUAUUGCACAAUGGGCGGAAGCCUGAUGCAGCAACGCCGCGUGCGGGAUGACGGCCUUCGGGUUGUAAACCGCUUUCGCCUGUGACGAAGCGUGAGUGACGGUAAUGGGUAAAGAAGCACCGGCUAACUACGUGCCAGCAGCCGCGGUGAUACGUAGGGUGCGAGCGUUGUCCGGAUUUAUUGGGCGUAAAGGGCUCGUAGGUGGUUGAUCGCGUCGGAAGUGUAAUCUUGGGGCUUAACCCUGAGCGUGCUUUCGAUACGGGUUGACUUGAGGAAGGUAGGGGAGAAUGGAGUUCCUGGUGGAGCGGUGGAAUGCGCAGAUAUCAGGAGGAACACCAGUGGCGAAGGCGGUUCUCUGGGCCUUUCCUGACGCUGAGGAGCGAAAGCGUGGGGAGCGAACAGGCUUAGAUACCCUGGUAGUCCACGCUGUAAACGGUGGGUACUAGGUGUGGGGUCCAUUCCACGGGUUCCGUGCCGUAGCUAACGCUUUAAGUACCCCGCCUGGGGAGUACGGCCGCAAGGCUAAAACUCAAAGGAAUUGACGGGGCCCCGCACAAGCGGCGGAGCAUGCGGAUUAAUUCGAUGCAACGCGUAGAACCUUACCUGGGUUUGACAUGGAUCGGGAGUGCUCAGAGAUGGGUGUGCCUCUUUUGGGGUCGGUUCACAGGUGGUGCAUGGCUGUCGUCAGCUCGUGUCGUGAGAUGUUGGGUUAAGUCCCGCAACGAGCGCAACCCUUGUUCACUGUUGCCAGCACGUUAUGGUGGGGACUCAGUGGAGACCGCCGGGGUCAACUCGGAGGAAGGUGGGGAUGACGUCAAGUCAUCAUGCCCCUUAUGUCCAGGGCUUCACGCAUGCUACAAUGGCUGGUACAGAGAGUGGCGAGCCUGUGAGGGUGAGCGAAUCUCGGAAAGCCGGUCUCAGUUCGGAUUGGGGUCUGCAACUCGACCUCAUGAAGUCGGAGUCGCUAGUAAUCGCAGAUCAGCAACGCUGCGGUGAAUACGUUCCCGGGGCU